UUUAUUUCAUACCAUCAGGCUGCAAGAAAAACAGAACGGUGCCUGUAAGUCACAUGGAGCUCGGGGAGCGGGAGGGAGAUUUAUCCAUUGGAACAAAGAGAUGGACUUUUCCCUCCACAUGCAAGUUGUGCAAGUCUGGAAAAAUAGGAGGCAGCUGGGCUAUACUGCUUCUCUCGUGAGCCAGGCUUUCAUAUGAAUAAGAGAUUAAGACCGGGUGCGGGAAGAGGUGCCGUCGGAGCUACCACACUGGUGGUGCGCCAUCUGCAGAUCCCUCUGCCCUAGGACGAUCCUGCCAGAGCUGGCUUCUCAGGAUUUAGGGCCACUUUGCCAAGCUGCCUGAACACAACCGUGGAUGGGGUUUUAUUCUUCAUCUGACACUCAAUGGCUUUGCUUUGAUUCAGUGCCUUUAGUCACUGGAGUCAUGCAAGCAGGAUUUCGUCCCGGAUGGAAGAUCGGGGUGUUGGCAGUGGCCAGUACCAGCUGCUUCAGGAGGUGCAAGAAAUCCACAGUGUAAGACAUUGGUGUUUGGCAUCAUGUUCCUUGCUGGUAGCUGCAAUCUACAAGCCAUACUCCAAGGAGCUGGGGGGAAAGGGACCAAAUUCAAUCUGGACAAAGACAAUGUUAGACCAAUCAAAACAAAAGAUUUUGGUCACGCCCCCUCAGCUGACAAUAUAAAGCUCAAGCCUGCAAAAGGAGCAGCAGUUGCUGAAAUGAGGUCACUAAAGAAUGAUGCUGAGCUGGAGAAGCCAUCGGGAUGGGGAUUUACCUUGCCAGGUUUAUACCAGGCCUUGCAGAAGUCUUGGCAUGACUAGAAGAUCGCCUAGAGAAAGACUCAGUGUUCCACUGGGAUGCCCAGUGAGAUUCUGUCUUCACCAGUGUGAACCAUCUCAUCUCCAGUGGAAGCUCGUUUGCAAACGAUGGUACAAAUGAAGAAGUGGAUGCAUCUAAAUGAGGACUUGAGGAUUCCAUACAUCCAAGGAAAUAAAUUUUGCCAGCUUAAAAAGGA
Mauremys reevesii (Reeves's turtle) is the source of this 1006-nucleotide long non-coding RNA. RefSeq lists it as uncharacterized. The record is from RefSeq and is a predicted model, not a curated record. NCBI's taxonomy places the organism in Eukaryota, Metazoa, Chordata, Testudines, Geoemydidae. The transcript is spliced from 3 exons.